This is a long non-coding RNA of Equus caballus (horse), 1531 nucleotides long. The record is from Ensembl. NCBI's taxonomy places the organism in Eukaryota, Metazoa, Chordata, Mammalia, Perissodactyla, Equidae.
UGUAACCCUUGAAAGGGGAAGCCGCUGAGGCUUGGAGCAGCUCAGUUCAAGCCUGGUCUCUGCCUUCCAGAAGCGGCCGUGGUCAUAUAUGCUCCAGCUCCCUCACAGGGCGCCGAUUAAUCACCUACCCAACAACCUCAUUUAACAGAUGAGAGAACAGACCUACAGAGGUAAACAGCCUUGCCCAAGCCCCAGAUAGCCUAGUGAGUCAAUGGCAGGAUUGAAACCAGAAUCCAGGGUGACUCAGGGCGGUGGAAACUAUAAAAUACUCGGAAAAUAGAGUCCUGUAAAUCCAAAAUAUCCCCACACACUUUUCACCUUUAUGAGGUGUUGUCUUUAAGGCCCGGUCAGAAUGACUUGAGUUAUAAGAUUAAGCAAACAUUUGGAGGAACCCCAGGCCCUUGGAAACAGCAGCCCUUGUGUUGGCCUCACCUCUCUUCCCUGGGAGGAGAGAGCAUGCAGGGCAGUGGGAAGCGCAUGGACUGGGGCUUCUGGCAAGUCAGGGUUUGAAUCUCAGCUUCACAAACAGUGGGAGUUACCCUCUCGGAGCCUCAGUUUGCUCACCUCUAGGAUGGGAUGAUGACACCUCCCUCACCAAGCUCCUGCGUGGAAUAGUCCCUCGGAGUCCCUGAAAAUUUGAGCAACAUAAAGUGGCGUGACAGGUGAAUUUGUACACAGUUGGGAGGGGAGGAAUGUCUGCUGGAUUCUCAGAAGACCAGAUGGUGUUCGCACUUUGGAUAUAAUUCAGCUAUUUCCCCAAAGGACAGAUCAAGGACAAAGGAGCUGUGUCCCUAGUAAGAUAGCAUUCUUUCAAUACGAAGAUGUAUUUUUGGCCACAAGGGGCCUUUUGAAAACUACCUCUUGGGCAGUUACAGACUCUGUGGCCCUUGAGAGCCACAGGUCAAAGGUCAAGGCCCAUAGAAAUGGCUGUAUCCCAGGACUCGGGGCAGUGGGACUGCUUAUCCUCCUGAGGCCCCUGUGGUGUGGUCAUGGGUACUGCCAAUGUCUGCGCCGCUCUGGGCACUGUCUCAAGCAAAGUUUCCCUGUGACUGGAACACCCGCAGCCCUACUCAGCACGCAGGCAGCGACACAGCAGCAAACAACUUGCGUCUGUUUCCUGGUGGCUUGUUCUCUGGGACGCAGAAAAGAACAUGGCGACCGCCAACAUUCAGGCCUAUCUGAUUCAUCUGUGACCAAAAGUAGAAAAUAAUGAAGCAAAAAAGAGGUAAAGGGCAAGUCACUGUGGGCAGUCGCAGGCCUUCAGGGUCUCUUAAAACCAGCAGUGUUGGAUGUUGCAGGAGUGAUGGUGGUGAACCAAGAACCGGGGUGAGCGGCCCCCCUGGGCACAGGCAACAACGUUGUGGAUAAUCCCUAGGGAACUGAAAAACAAAAAUAAAACCUUAUAAGAAUCCCUUUGCUUGUUUUUAUCACAAUGUGCUGGCAGUUUUAAACAAUGUCAGUAACAAAAUAAAACUCUCUGAAGGUUUUCUCAAUUUCUUUCCUCUAGUCCAGCUAUUAUGAAGGGUUUGUG